UCCAUGCCCGUGUAGAACUGCUCUGAAGA
This 29-nucleotide non-coding RNA is filed under the name Mus musculus (house mouse). The record is from RNAcentral. Lineage: Eukaryota; Metazoa; Chordata; Mammalia; Rodentia; Muridae.